GCCCGUAAUCCGGGUUGCGGACAGUGUCUGGUGGGUAGUUUGACUGGGGCGGUCUCCUCCUAAAGAGUAACGGAGGAGCACGAAGGUUGGCUAAUCCUGGUCGGACAUCAGGAGGUUAGUGCAAUGGCAUAAGCCAGCUUGACUGCGAGCGUGACGGCGCGAGCAGGUGCGAAAGCAGGUCAUAGUGAUCCGGUGGUUCUGAAUGGAAGGGCCAUCGCUCAACGGAUAAAAGGUACUCCGGGGAUAACAGGCUGAUACCGCCCAAGAGUUCAUAUCGACGGCGGUGUUUGGCACCUCGAUGUCGGCUCAUCACAUCCUGGGGCUGAAGUAGGUCCCAAGGGUAUGGCUGUUCGCCAUUUAAAGUGGUACGCGAGCUGGGUUUAGAACGUCGUGAGACAGUUCGGUCCCUAUCUGCCGUGGGCGCUGGAGAACUGAGGGGGGCUGCUCCUAGUACGAGAGGACCGGAGUGGACGCAUCACUGGUGUUCGGGUUGUCAUGCCAAUGGCACUGCCCGGUAGCUAAAUGCGGAAGAGAUAAGUGCUGAAAGCAUCUAAGCACGAAACUUGCCCCGAGAUGAGUUCUCCCUGACUCCUUGAGAGUCCUGAAGGAACGUUGAAGACGACGACGUUGAUAGGCCGGGUGUGUAAGCGCAGCGAUGCGUUGAGCUAACCGGUACUAAUGAACCGUGAGGCUUAACCUU
RNAcentral lists this ribosomal RNA (700 nucleotides) under Escherichia coli. RNAcentral describes it as "partial 23S ribosomal RNA". It matches the Rfam family "Bacterial large subunit ribosomal RNA", at positions 2231 to 2925 of the family's 2925-position model. The record is from RNAcentral. Lineage: Bacteria; Pseudomonadati; Pseudomonadota; Gammaproteobacteria; Enterobacterales; Enterobacteriaceae.